UACUGGGAGAUAGCCCUCCGAAAGGAGGAUUAAUAUCCCAUGAUCGCCGAGGUGGCAUCACCUUGGUCUGAAAGCUCCGGCGGUACAGGAUGACCAUGCGCACGAUUAGCUAGUUGGUGAGGUAACGGCUCACCAAGGCUACGAUCGUUAGGGGGCCUGAGAGGGUUAUCCCCCACACUGGUACUGAGACACGGACCAGACUCCUACGGGAGGGCAGCAGUGAGGAAUAUUGCGCAAUGGAGGCAACUCUGACGCAGCCAUGCCGCGUGCAGGAAGAAGGCGCUACGCGUUGUAAACUGCUUUUAACCGGGUAAGAAACCCACGGACGUGUCCUGGGUUGACGGUACCGGAGGAAUAAGCACCGGCUAACUUCGUG
This 376-nucleotide ribosomal RNA is filed under the name uncultured bacterium. RNAcentral's name for it is "bacterial SSU rRNA". It matches the Rfam family "Bacterial small subunit ribosomal RNA", at positions 134 to 507 of the family's 1533-position model. The record is from RNAcentral.